GUGCCAGCAGCCGCGGUAAUACGGAGGACCCGAGCGUUAUCCGGAUUCAUUGGGUUUAAAGGGUGCGUAGGCGGCCCGGUCAGUCAGCGGUGAAAGGCUCCUGCUCCACAGGAGAGCUGCCGUUGAUACUGCUGGGCUAGAAUCUUAGCGAGGCGGGCGGAAUGCGCGGUGUAGCGGUGAAAUGCAUAGAUAUCGCGCAGAACGCCGAUUGGGGAGCCAGCUCGCCAGCUGAGUAUUGACGCUGAGGCACGAAAGCGUGGGGAUCAAACAGGAUUAGAUACCCCAGUAGUCC
Molecule: ribosomal RNA, 292 nt
Filed under: uncultured bacterium
Lineage: Bacteria
Description: partial 16S ribosomal RNA
Rfam family: Bacterial small subunit ribosomal RNA
Source: RNAcentral